Molecule: ribosomal RNA, 768 nt
Filed under: uncultured bacterium
Lineage: Bacteria
Description: bacterial SSU rRNA
Rfam family: Bacterial small subunit ribosomal RNA
Source: RNAcentral
GAGAGAGAGCUUGCUUUCUCAAGCGAGUGGCGAACGGGUGAGUAACGCGUGAGGAACCUGCCUCAAAGAGGGGGACAACAGUUGGAAACGACUGCUAAUACCGCAUAAGCCCACAGGUCGGCAUCGACCAGAGGGAAAAGGAGCAAUCCGCUUUGAGAUGGCCUCGCGUCCGAUUAGCUAGUUGGUGAGGUAACGGCCCACCAAGGCGACGAUCGGUAGCCGGACUGAGAGGUUGAACGGCCACAUUGGGACUGAGACACGGCCCAGACUCCUACGGGAGGCAGCAGUGGGGAAUAUUGCACAAUGGGGGAAACCCUGAUGCAGCGACGCCGCGUGGAGGAAGAAGGUCUUCGGAUUGUAAACUCCUGUUGUUGAGGAAGAUAAUGACGGUACUCAACAAGGAAGUGACGGCUAACUACGUGCCAGCAGCCGCGGUAAAACGUAGGUCACAAGCGUUGUCCGGAAUUACUGGGUGUAAAGGGAGCGCAGGCGGGAAGACAAGUUGGAAGUGAAAUCUAUGGGCUCAACCCAUAAACUGCUUUCAAAACUGUUUUUCUUGAGUAGUGCAGAGGUAGGCGGAAUUCCCGGUGUAGCGGUGGAAUGCGUAGAUAUCGGGAGGAACACCAGUGGCGAAGGCGGCCUACUGGGCACCAACUGACGCUGAGGCUCGAAAGUGUGGGUAGCAAACAGGAUUAGAUACCCUGGUAGUCCACACCGUAAACGAUGAUUACUAGGUGUUGGAGGAUUGACCCCUUCAGUGCCGCAGUU